Molecule: ribosomal RNA, 439 nt
Filed under: uncultured bacterium
Lineage: Bacteria
Description: partial 16S ribosomal RNA
Rfam family: Bacterial small subunit ribosomal RNA
Source: RNAcentral
CCUACGGGAGACAGCAGUGGGGAAUAUUGCACAAUGGGGGAAACCCUGAUGCAGCAACGCCGCGUGAGUGAAGAAGUAUUUCGGUAUGUAAAGCUCUAUCAGCAGGGAAGAAGAUGACGGUACCUGAUUAAGAAGCCCCGGCUAACUACGUGCCAGCAGCCGCGGUAAUACGUAGGGGGCAAGCGUUAUCCGGAUUUAUUGGGUUUAAAGGGUGCGUAGGCGGAAUGCCAAGUCAGCGGGAAAAUCGCGGGGCUCAACCUCGCUCCGCCGUUGAAACUGGCGUUCUUGAGUGGGCGAGAAGUAUGCGGAAGGCGUGGUGUAGCGGUGAAAUGCAUAGAGAUCACGCAGAACUCCGAUUGCGAAGGCAGCAUACCGGCGCCCAACUGACGCUGAAGCACGAAAGCGUGGGUAUCGAACAGGAUUAGAUACCCCUGUAGUC